AUACAGAGGCUAGAACUGCUCUCUUGGAAUAUCACUUUCCAGAAAAACCCUAAAUAAAUCUGGAGCGAACAGCUCUUUUUGUUUUGCGUUCCUGACCCAACGGCCACUGUUCAACAACGCUGUUACUAGCUGAUUGCAAUCAGCCCAUAACAAAUGAAUUUUUCGGUACUAAACAGAUAUACCAAAAUUGAAACUGGCAACGCAACAAUCGAUCUCUGAAUUCUAAGAAGAUCAGUCACACAACACAGACAGGCUUUCUUCAUUUUUCUUCUAAAUGUUGAUAUCAACUUCUACAAGCACCCAAAGGUUUACUUGCUGCUCAUGCAAACCCUAUUCCACUAGAUAUGAACGUACAUGAUGUUUAUCAUCUCAAAGGCUUAUCGAAAGGAAGAACAACCCAAAAACAUGUACUUGAGGAGUAUACCAUACAUAAGGAUUCCGGACAGUUGAUAGUAAAUGUUCAAAUAGUGACGCUAUCUCUAGUUGCCCUUUACAAGAAUUUGGGGAUACACAGUUGAUUUUUCCUGGCAUUUGCCAAAUUCCUAAUAGGUCAUUACACUACGAUGCAAAACAAAUAUCUGCUGUAAAUUCUGAAGAUUAUACUUCUCCACUCCCAAAAUUAUCUUGAACAAAUAUUUCUGGCAGAAAACUCAGAUUCAACACCUUACAACUCGGACAUAUAUGGAUACAUCCCACAAAAGUUUGUGACCGUCUAUUCAUAGAGUGGACAAAAAAUGGCGCAAAUCAUGUCGUUGAUUUUCUGUGACUAUUUGGAAUCAUUUUAGGAAUUAACAAGGGAACAUUACAAUUACAAAAAUAAAUGUACACUUUUUAUUAUUGAAAAAUUCAUUGUUACUGAUUGGAGGUGUAUACUGCACCUGCCUAUCAAGUAAUACUUCAUUUGCAUACAUUUUUUUAA
Molecule: long non-coding RNA, 919 nt
Organism: Hevea brasiliensis (rubber tree)
Lineage: Eukaryota; Viridiplantae; Streptophyta; Magnoliopsida; Malpighiales; Euphorbiaceae
Exons: 4
Source: RefSeq, a predicted model, not a curated record